RNAcentral lists this ribosomal RNA (841 nucleotides) under Entonaema pallida. RNAcentral describes it as "eukaryotic LSU rRNA". It matches the Rfam family "Eukaryotic large subunit ribosomal RNA", at positions 66 to 932 of the family's 3401-position model. The record is from RNAcentral. Lineage: Eukaryota; Fungi; Ascomycota; Sordariomycetes; Xylariales; Xylariaceae.
CAACAGGGAUUGCCCUAGUAACGGCGAGUGAAGCGGCAACAGCUCAAAUUUGAAAUCUGGCCCUCGGGUCCGAGUUGUAAUUUGUAGAGGAUGCUUUUGGCGCGGUGCCUUCCGAGUUCCCUGGAACGGGACGCCUUAGAGGGUGAGAGCCCCGUACGGUUGGACACCAAGCCUCUGUAAAGCUCCUUCGACGAGUCGAGUAGUUUGGGAAUGCUGCUCUAAAUGGGAGGUAAAUUUCUUCUAAAGCUAAAUAUUGGCCAGAGACCGAUAGCGCACAAGUAGAGUGAUCGAAAGAUGAAAAGCACUUUGAAAAGAGGGUUAAAUAGCACGUGAAAUUGUUGAAAGGGAAGCGUUUGCGACCAGACCUUUUCCUAGCGGAUCAUCCGGUGUUCUUCACCGGUGCACUUCGCUAGGUUGAGGCCAGCAUCGGUUUUCGUAGGGGGAUAAAAGCCCUGGGAACGUAGCUCCUCCGGGAGUGUUAUAGCCCUCUGCAUAAUACCCUUACGGGGACCGAGGACCGCGCUUUUAGCAAGGAUGCUGGCGUAAUGGUCGUCAACGACCCGUCUUGAAACACGGACCAAGGAGUCGAACAUUUGUGCGAGUGUUUGGGUGUUAAACCCUCACGCGUAAUGAAAGUGAACGGAGGUGAGAGCCCUUACGGGUGCAUCAUCGACCGAUCCUGAUGUCUUCGGAUGGAUUUGAGUAAGAGCAUAACUGUUCGGACCCGAAAGAUGGUGAACUAUGCGUGGAUAGGGUGAAGCCAGAGGAAACUCUGGUGGAGGCUCGCAGCGGUUCUGACGUGCAAAUCGAUCGUCAAAUCUGCGCAUGGGGGCGAAAGACU